UUCCCCAUUCCCCUCAUCCAUUCCCUUCCACCCCCUCAUAUCGUCAACCGUAGAUAAAGCCUUAUCCAACGGUCCACAUUUAAAUUUAGGAAAGAAUGUGAUCCGCGUGCUAGUCGUCUACACCAAUCAAAUUUCAUCUUAUGGAUUCAGUCUCUCUCACACUUAAUUAUUUAAAUCCCUUCAUUUCCGUCACCUUCCUCACACAACGAGAGUACCGGUGCACCUACACAUUCAGAUUCAAUCGAAAAGAUAUAGUUUCGUGCUAUCUUAUUUUCGAUUUCCCAAUUUCUUCUAAGCCUUAACGCUAACUUUGACCCAGCUUUUCCCGAAUUCGUCCUUUGUAUCCCUCGCUAAGCAAAUGGCCACCGAGGAACCAACCGUAGCGGUUGACUACGCACCUGAACCGGGGGAAGACAAGCCAGCCGAGACCAAAGCCGGUUCGAAAUCCGGCAGAACAAAAAAAGCCAAAGAACCCAAAGUCAAGAAAGCAGCAGCCCCUAAGAAACCACGAGCUCCUCCUUCUCAUCCUCCUUACGAAGAGAUGAUCAAAGAUGCAAUCGUUACCUUGAAAGAGAAGACAGGUUCAAGUCAGUACGCUAUUAGUAAAUUCAUUGAAGAGAACCAAAAGCAGCUUCCUGGAACCUUUAAGAAGCUUUUGCUUUUCCAUUUGAAGAAACUCGUGGCGGCUGAGAAAUUAGUUAAGGUUAAAAAUUCGUUUAAACUUCCAUCGGCUAAGUCUUCGAAGCCGGCUACUACUGCUUCUGCUCCGUCUAAGAAGAAGCCGGCUGCUACUAAGGCUAAGUCUAAACCUGCUUCAAAGCCUAAGGAAGGGAAGAGUACAAAAACAGCUGCUAAAGCUCCGGCGAAGACAAAAACUGCUUCUAAGACAAAGACUAAGGCGGCGAAUAAACCCAAGCCUGCUACUAAGGCAAAGUCUACUACAACAAAGACGAAGGCGGUGGCUACUGUGAAGCCGAAAACUACUUUAGCUUCUAAGUCUAAAGGUGUAGCGAAGCCUAAGCCCAAGCCCAAGCCCAAGCCCAAGCCCAAUGAAAGGCCGGCUAAGGCUUCUAGGACUUCAACGAGGACGUCUCCUGGAAAGAAGGCGGCUGUUCCGAAGCCUGUCCCGAAGAAGGCUCCAGCGACUAAAAGAGCACAGGCGAAGAGAAAGUCACCGGCGAAGAAAGCCGCGUCGAAGAGAGGAAAAAAGUGAAAAAAAGUAGAGAAGAAAAGCUAGUCAAUGUAGGGGUAGUUUUGUAAAUUGGACUGAAGUUUAGUGGGUGUAUUUGGGUCCAUGUAUACCCAUGAAAAUAUGAAAUCGGAUCUUAACCAGGUUUGGCGGUGAGUUACAUUAAAGAAAAUGGUGGCGUCUUAAAGAGCGUUGCUUAGAAAUAUUGAAGGGCUCAACCUCUCUGCAACAACACUGAUCCAAAAACAGAGAAAAUGAAGGUACAGAUGCUCUGGUGCAAGAGUAGUGUGGGAGCAUUGAAGCUUUUCAAAUGUUGGUUGCUCUGAUGAAAAGCCAUAAAAUGGUUUGUAAUUUCAGGAAUGAAUAUAAGUAGAUGUUAAAUAUUGUCAAUUAUUUGAUUUUCAUAGUUGAUCCUGCAGACUUUUGAAGUCUGCAAAUCGAGAGAGAACUAUUGAGAGUUAUGUGCUAAAGCUUGUUCUCUGGCUGGGAACAUUCUCCUCAGUUGCCACUGCUUGGCUGUUGAGGUGUCUAUUUCAAUUUUCAUAGGCAAAACUUUUAUAUUGAUCACAAGAAACUUUCCGUUUGAUGGAUGCAUUUAUUGGCAUUCUGAAGAUUUUACUAAAUUUCAACGACUAUUCUUUAGAUUUUUUCCCUCUCAAAUCUUUGCCUAAGAGGAAUUAUGAUUUCUUUUUCUUUUUUCUUUGUUAUCUAUCCUAUACUGAUGGUUUCCUGGAUAUGCUGUUGGCCAUAUUGGGUUUUGUUAUGUUUUCUUGUUGAUAUUCUGAGAUUUUACUUUUCUUAGUGCUUCCAAUCCUUCCAACUUUAUUGCUGUUGUCCGGUUUUUGUUGAUACUUACAAAAGCAUCAAUUUGGAAAUGAGCAGUUGUUUCAUUGUUUGUCAUAUCGUUAUAGCAAAUGCAUCUGAUAUUUACAGUUACGUGAUUCAGGGGAAGAAGGAGGGCAUAGAAUCUUCUUAUAAGGAUUAGGAAAAAUCCAAUUAACAACUGUUUGUGAUAUUAGCAGUCAUGGUGGCUGGCUAUUGCGUUGAUUCUUGUGGAUCAUUAAGGCUUUGCUUCUGAUAUUGCAGAUUGAUGGUUAAUGGUGAUUUCUGAUAGUGAGAAACUCAUUGGUAUUGGAUUUACAGUUACCUGGUUUUUCAAAGGUUAUCUUCACAUGAUAUGUUGUAUAGUAUUCUAGGUAGUAAAAUUGUACUCGUGAAGUUGCUUGAGGGUUCAAUGUGUUCCUGCAAAUGUUGCUUCUGAUUGGUGCUUGUUCUGCUACCGCUAAUAUUUGCAUUUUGAAUGCUCUGCAAGCGUUUCCUAUAAGAAUUCUCAAACAUUUCUAGUCUCUUCAACGUUCUUGCUUUUGACACCAUUUUUAGUUCUAUCUUUCAUUUUGCCAAAGUUUCUGGUAAGAUGAAUUUUCACAUUAGAUAUUUGUUUACCUUUCCCUUCAAUGUUAAUCUUCACUAUUGUUACAUGUUGUGAAAUCCCCUUCUGGUUAUUGUUUUUAAAUUAACAAGCUUGGGAUGGGAAUUGCUUGAAAGUAAUGUAGCAGUAAUACCCAUAGAGAAGAAUGGAGGAUCACAUGUUUGUCCUAUUUCUGUAGCUUUUUCUGAGUGCCUCUAUUUGGUGGAAAGUUAUAGAUAUGUAUUAAUUCUGUUACUAUUCAUAUACAAACAAAUGUAUCUACUUUUAAAGGAAGUUUCAUAGAGGUUUAGAUGCUUUCCUUAAAUACUCUUUAGAGUGCUGUCAGAGGGUCAACCUGAACAACUUAGUGGAUUUAACUGUUAGCAAUGAAUUGUCAAUCUAGGUCAGAGCAAUUGCCACAUGGAGUGGAUUUCUUUUUCUCUAUCUGGAGAUAGGAGCUUAACUUCUCAAUGAGAUAAAUGCGCUUCUUCUGUUGUAUUGCUGUUAUACAUUUCAUAUCAGAGAGGAAGGUUUGAUGUUCAGAACUUUUUAGGGUUCUCUAAUACCUGUUUCCAACAGUGAAGAUUAUGUCUGAAAGAAAUGGAUUUUAUACAUGUUAUGAGGAGAAAUAGUUGCUACAAUCAUUUAGCACAUGGAUUGAAGCUUAAUGAAAAAAAUGAAAAAAAUACUAUAGGUCUUGUAUGCAGAAGCUAC
Durio zibethinus is the source of this 3311-nucleotide non-coding RNA. NCBI's taxonomy places the organism in Eukaryota, Viridiplantae, Streptophyta, Magnoliopsida, Malvales, Malvaceae. The record is from RefSeq and is a predicted model, not a curated record.